GCCAGCAGCCGCGGUAAUACCGGCGGCUCGAGUGGUGGCCACUUUAUUGGGCUUAAAGCGUUCGUAGCUGGGUUAUUAAGUCCCUUGGGAAAUCCGACAGCUUAACUGUCGGGCGUCUAAGAGAUACUGGUAAUCUUGGAACCGGGAGAGGUGAGGGGUACUUCGGGGGUAGGAGUGAAAUCCUGUAAUCCUCGAGGGACCACCUGUGGCGAAGGCGCCUCACCAGAACGGCUUCGACAGUGAGGGACGAAAGCUGGGGAGCAAACCGGAUUAGAUACCCGGGUAGUCCCAGCCGUAAACGAUGUGCGUUAGGUGUAUCGGUGACCACGAGUCACCGAGGUGCCGAAGGGAAACCGUGAAACGUACCGCCUGGGAAGUACGGUCGCAAGGCUGAAACUUAAAGGAAUUGGCGGGGGAGCACCACAACAGGUGGAGCCUGCGGUUUUAAAUUGGACUCAACGCCGGAAAUCUCACCGGAUAAGACAGCAGAAUGAUUGCCGGGCUGAAGACUCUGCAUGACUAGCUGAGUAGAGGUGCAUGG
This 541-nucleotide ribosomal RNA is filed under the name uncultured archaeon. Its description in RNAcentral is "bacterial SSU rRNA". It matches the Rfam family "Archaeal small subunit ribosomal RNA", at positions 457 to 997 of the family's 1478-position model. The record is from RNAcentral.